CCUACGGGUGGCAGCAGUGAGGAAUAUUGGUCAAUGGGCGCGAGCCUGAACCAGCCAAGUCGCGUGAGGGAAGACGGUCCUAUGGAUUGUAAACCUCUUUUGUCGGGGAGCAAAAGACGCCACGCGUGGCGUUCCGAGAGUACCCGAAGAAAAAGCAUCGGCUAACUCCGUGCCAGCAGCCGCGGUAAUACGGAGGAUGCGAGCGUUAUCCGGAUUUAUUGGGUUUAAAGGGAGCGGAGGGGGAUGGUUAAGUCAGUUGGCAAAGUUUGAGGCUCAACCCUAUAGGGGCAGUUGAAACUGGUAGUCUUGAGUGAAUGAGAGGUGUGCGGAAUUCGUGGUGUAGCGGUGAAAUGCUUAGAUAUCACGAAGAACUCCGAUUGCGAAGGCAGCUUACUGGACCGCAACUGACGCUGAGGCACGAAAGUGUGGGUAUCAAACAGGAUUAGAUACCCUAGUAGUC
This 460-nucleotide ribosomal RNA is filed under the name uncultured bacterium. RNAcentral describes it as "partial 16S ribosomal RNA". It matches the Rfam family "Bacterial small subunit ribosomal RNA", at positions 338 to 795 of the family's 1533-position model. The record is from RNAcentral.